Molecule: ribosomal RNA, 307 nt
Filed under: uncultured bacterium
Lineage: Bacteria
Description: bacterial SSU rRNA
Rfam family: Bacterial small subunit ribosomal RNA
Source: RNAcentral
GAUGAACGCUGGCGGCGUGCCUAAUACAUGCAAGUCGAACGCACAGCGAAAGGUGCUUGCACCUUUCAAGUGAGUGGCGAACGGGUGAGUAACACGUGGAUAACCUACCUCAAGGUUGGGGAUAACAUUUGGAAACAGAUGCUAAUACCGAAUAAAACUUAGUAUCGCAUGAUACCAGGUUAAAAGGCGCUACGGCGUCACCUAGAGAUGGAUCCGCGGUGCAUUAGUUAGUUGGUGGGUAAAGGCUUACCAGACAAUGAUGCAUAGCCGAGUUGAGAGACUGAUCGGCCACAUUGGGACUGAGACA